UACGUAGGUGGCAAGCGUUAUCCGGAUUUAUUGGGUGUAAAGGGCGUGUAGGCGGGAAUGCAAGUCAGAUGUGAAAACUAUGGGCUCAACCCAUAGCCUGCAUUUGAAACUGUGUUUCUUGAGUGCAGAAGAGGAGAGUGGAACUCCAUGUGUAGCGGUGGAAUGCGUAGAUAUAUGGAAGAACACCAGUGGCGAAGGCGGCUCUCUGGUCUGUAACUGACGCUGAGGCUCGAAAGCAUGGGUAGCGAACAGG
This 253-nucleotide ribosomal RNA is filed under the name uncultured Lactobacillus sp. Its description in RNAcentral is "partial 16S ribosomal RNA". It matches the Rfam family "Bacterial small subunit ribosomal RNA", at positions 524 to 776 of the family's 1533-position model. The record is from RNAcentral. Lineage: Bacteria; Bacillati; Bacillota; Bacilli; Lactobacillales; Lactobacillaceae.